RNAcentral lists this ribosomal RNA (1290 nucleotides) under Triticum aestivum (bread wheat). RNAcentral's name for it is "partial small subunit ribosomal RNA". Lineage: Eukaryota; Viridiplantae; Streptophyta; Magnoliopsida; Poales; Poaceae. The record is from RNAcentral.
AUGGAAAUGGCAGCAUGCUUCUCCUAUGGUCUGACGAGGGGGAACCGCCGCUGCCGCAAGCCGGUGUGCCUCAUCGAGGAAUCCCAGGAGGCGCUGGACGAAGAGGCGUGGCUGCGCGAGUUUGCCCUCGUGUUCACCGCCAUGGGCUUGCCGGAUUUGGUGCCCGCGGACGUCGCGGCGGCUGUCCGCAUGGAGUUCCCAGAUGUGCCCUCCAACGGCCUUCAGGUCUCCCUGAUGCAGACGGGCUCGUUCUUCGUGCGCUUCGCUCAUCGCUGGUGGUUCGACUUGGUGCGUGGCCACGAUAUGGUGCACGCCCACGGCACGCCCCUGCUGGUCCGACGGUGGAACCGGUUGACCUUCAUGACCUUCGUCAAGUGCCGGUACAGCAUGCGGCUCUUCAUCCAGGGCAUCCCGCCGCACGAGUUCAGCCUUAACACCGCCCAAGACCUGCUUCCGAAUGCCUCUUCUACCAGGUGGCCAUUGGGUCCCUCGACAAGCUUGACAUGUCCUACUUCGUCGCCCGGGCCUGGGUGGGCGACCCCGACGAGGUGCCGACAGAGACCGUGCUCACCGUCUGGCCCGCACCCACUGCUCCGACCCGCUGGCGCACGUCUCCCUCCCGCCAGGCUUUGGGCUGGAUGGGGAGGAGGGGAGAACUGCGCCUGCACCGAGCACCUCCCUAGCAAGCUUCACUACUCGGUGCUCGUCCACGUCGACUCCGUCACCUACUACCCUCCCCGCUCUGAGUAUGCGGUCCGGCGCGAUGGGGGCGACGAGGACGAUGAUGCAUCGCCGCCCGAAGAGCUGCCGCACCCGUCGGAGCACGGGACUCCCAUAGACGUCACCAGGGCCCGAACGGGCUUAGGCCUCUCGCUGGCCGAACGGAAGGGCCGCCGCCGAAAUGGUCGCCCUACUCCGGCCACUACAGGCGGGUGCCCGGCGUGUUGCAGCCCGAAGAGAUCUAUGGCAAGGCCAACCGCGAGCUUUCUUCCCCUAUCCUCAUGCCGGCGGACGCAGACGAGUGUCCCGGCGACAACGCCUCCCUCGGCGGCUCGUCGAUGGCGGAGCCGCGCGCGGUGGUUGCAGACGUCGAGCCGGCUAUGCUGCAUGCGGGCGUCAUGUCACGCACCCCACGCGUGGGGCCCCCUAUGCUGCAGGCCCUGGUGGUCCAGCCUCUGGUGCAUGAGGACACAGGCGGGGCCCUGUCCCUGGUGGGCAUGGGGCAUCUGUCCCAGUCUCCGGGGGAGGCAGCUGACAGCGGGGUGCGGGCACCCACUUCCCCGCCAAUGA